GAUGAAGAACGUAGCGAAAUGCGAUAAGUAGUGUGAAUUGCAGAAUUCAGUGAAUCAUCGAAUCUUUGAACGCACAUUGCGCCCCUUGGUAUCCCGAGGGGCAUGCCUGUUCGGGCGUCAUUUCACCACUCAAGCCUGGCUUGGUGUUGGGCGACGUCCCCUUUGGGGACGCGCCUCGAAACGCUCGGCGGCGUGGCACCGGCUUUAAGCGUAGCAGAAUCUUUCGCUUUGGAAGUCGGGGCCCCGUCUGCCGGAAGACCUACUCGCAAGGUUGACCUCGGAUCAGGCAGGGAUACCCGCUGAACUUAAGCAUAUCAAUAAGCGGAGGA
RNAcentral lists this unclassified non-coding RNA (329 nucleotides) under soil metagenome. RNAcentral describes it as "partial contains 5.8S ribosomal RNA, internal transcribed spacer 2, and large subunit ribosomal RNA". The stretch from base 1 to 120 matches the Rfam family "5.8S ribosomal RNA", at positions 35 to 154 of the family's 154-position model. The record is from RNAcentral.